This 393-nucleotide long non-coding RNA is filed under the name Amborella trichopoda. RNAcentral's name for it is "long non-coding RNA (ATRI_LNC004220)". Lineage: Eukaryota; Viridiplantae; Streptophyta; Magnoliopsida; Amborellales; Amborellaceae. The record is from RNAcentral.
UUUUUAAAUAUUUUUUUGAUCACCAAUUCGGACCAAUCUAGACUUGAUCCAAAAUACCAAUCCAACUAUCCAACAUGCAUAUGCGGGUGAACGAUCUGCCCCACCAAUCCUGGUUUUAGAACACUGAUACGAAUAAUAAGGUGAGGUUUGUAUAAGGUGCACUAUACUUUACAAGCAAGGCGGACCUAUAAAUUUUGCUAGAAGACGUAGCUCUAGUUUCGAAAUCCUAAAAUAGCGUGAAAAUCUAUAUUCAACUACACUUAUGAAAUUUAAAAUUUCAAAAUUGCUGCAGAUCAAGUAACACUAUAAACACUUGAAAAUCAUGAAAGUAGACGGUCUAAAUACCUUGUUUCAAGAUGCACUAAUUUUAGGAUUUGAAAUUCAAUUAUAUAU